This 427-nucleotide ribosomal RNA is filed under the name uncultured Chlamydiae bacterium. RNAcentral describes it as "bacterial SSU rRNA". It matches the Rfam family "Bacterial small subunit ribosomal RNA", at positions 958 to 1385 of the family's 1533-position model. The record is from RNAcentral. Lineage: Bacteria; Pseudomonadati; Chlamydiota; Chlamydiia.
AACGCGAAGAACCUUACCCAGGCUUGACAUGCAGUAGACAGUACCAGAGAUGGUAUCUUCCGCAAGGACUGCUGCACAGGUGCUGCAUGGCUGUCGUCAGCUCGUGCCGUGAGGUGUUGGGUUAAGUCCCGCAACGAGCGCAACCCUUAUCAUUAGUUGCCAACACGUGAAGGUGGGAACUCUAAUGAGACUGCCCGGGUUAACCGGGAGGAAGGUGAGGAUGACGUCAAGUCCGCAUGGCCCUUAUGUCUGGGGCUACACACGUGCUACAAUGGUCGGUACAGAAGGCAGCGAAGCCGCGAGGUGAAGCAAAUCCAGAAAGCCGGCCCCAGUUCAGAUUGUAGUCUGCAACUCGACUACAUGAAGACGGAAUUGCUAGUAAUGGCGAGUCAGCAACAUCGCCGUGAAUACGUUCCCGGGCCUUGUA